GCUGCCCCUUGAGGCGUUGCAGCUCAGCCUUCCAUGUUGCAGCUGUGUCGAAAGGUGGCAGAGAGCAAAGGUGGUCGUCUACACUGAGUCUUCACGAUGACGACUCGGCAUGGUGUUGACCAUCAACAU
This is a small nucleolar RNA of Nerophis lumbriciformis (worm pipefish), 129 nucleotides long. RefSeq annotates it as small nucleolar RNA SNORA17. The record is from RefSeq and is a predicted model, not a curated record. NCBI's taxonomy places the organism in Eukaryota, Metazoa, Chordata, Actinopteri, Syngnathiformes, Syngnathidae.